UGACCUCAGAUCAGGUAGGACUACCCGCUGAACUUAAG
RNAcentral lists this ribosomal RNA (38 nucleotides) under uncultured Atheliaceae. Its description in RNAcentral is "partial 28S ribosomal RNA". Lineage: Eukaryota; Fungi; Basidiomycota; Agaricomycetes; Atheliales; Atheliaceae. The record is from RNAcentral.